CCGCGCCGGGGUGGAGGGGGAGCACGAGGGUGCUCAGUGCGCCCAAGAAGUGACGAGCGAUGGGAAACGCUGUCUCAGCUCCGCAGAGAACAUCAAAAGGCUGCUGCGCCCAUCCCGGAUUAAUAUACUCGUUGCACAAGUGUUAUCUUAAUCUGGUAGCCGUCCUUCAACAAGUUAUAAAUGAGAGCAACGUCUUUCUGUCAGUGGAUUUUUUUUAACCCGCCCAGAUUAUUUAUGAGAUGUUUGCAAUUCUGAGCCCCUAAGAGUAAUAACUUGUCCAAAUAAAUUAGCAUGAAAACUCCCUUGAUAUCCCCCAAAUAAUCAAAUUCUUUUGUCAACAACAUCCCCAAACAGUUUGCAUUGACUUUAGCAAAAGUUUGUUAGAAUUAGGGACUUAUCGUGAGGGACGACUCUUCCUCUGCGAUGGGAGGACUGUUAAUUUCCAAGUUAAAUAAUUGUUCUGUUUGGCAAAGAGCUUUCAUCAAGUUCUUCCUACAGCAAAAACUGGUAAGAAGAGAUAAAAACUAAGACAGUAGCGUGAGAUGCAUCAAAUGGGAAGGACCCUGACUCCCACCCUCCGUGGUCUCGCAGCUCCCGUGAGUAACAUCUGCCACCUUCCAGCGGCAAAAAUUGCGGACUUGCAUUUUCUCCUGACGUUUUAAUUGCUGGGUGUUAGAAAUAUUGCGAAAUACAGAAAUCCUGUGCAAACGCCGUGCGCAGAGAAGUCUCGCGGCCGCGAGGAGCUGUGCGGGAUUAAACCGUCCAGCGGGGCUCGUUUGCUGCGACUCCACAGAUUGCUCAAAACAGAACCAGAUGGGUUUUCCCUACUUUUUCCUUCAGAGAUCCUUUGGCAAACCAGCACACACAGGAAUAGUAGAGUUUUUAUGCAUGGGAAACACAGUCCAAAACUAUUUUAAUAAAAUAUUUGAAACUCCUAGAGGAUCUUUGUGUUGAGAGCUUGAGCAGGCUGUAAAUAAUUGAAGCAUUAACGAUAAUUUACACCCCUGGGACGAGCCGGAGAGGAUUACAACCUCAUGGAACCAUUUACCUUGAGAAAAAUGACAAAAUUUCCAAGGACUGAUGGUUCCUUGAGAGAAGAUUUGAAGCGGAGUCUGCACUUGGCUUGAGCCUAUCCGCUAUCAAUUCCAGUUCAUACGAAGACAUUUGCUCCGAUUAUUAUUAUAUCCCUGCCCUUUCUUGCCCUUGAAGUAUUGGCAUUGUGGCUCUGAAGACAGAUUCAAUUAACAAACCGGAUAGAUGCUGACCUUUCCCAGAUUGUUAUUCUAUCCUUGAUUUGCUUUAGGGGAGAAAUAUUUCUUUCACGUAGAAAUAUGAAAUAACAAAUAAAUAACCAACAAUUGAUUUGUAGUUAAAAAAAAAAAAAAAAAGGAAAGAGAGAGAGGGAAAGAAAGGAAAGAAAUGAACCGGUCGAGCACGGACACUGCUAUUAGCUGAGCAGCGUCAGGACUUUGGGCUGGGAUCACUCACCGAGCGAGCUGCCAUCCGUCACGGUUAAAGACUUGUCGGAGGAUUUCUGGAGUAGUUUCUCCAGGGAAUCAGAGAAUUGUCUCACCCCAUCACAGGUAAUCGGUGACGCCGGACGGCGGGGCUGAGAGCAGGACCAGGACUGGGACCUGGGCUGGGACCAGGACUGGGACGAGGAUGGUGCGCAACGAAUGCCUCUAGGCAACAACUUUCUCCAUUUAUAUUCAGACCCUCGUUGCUGCAUCACCCAGCAAGGCUUGUGCUUGGGCUCCUCUCCGAUUCCUCGAUCUUCCGGGCACUGCGAGUGUCGAUAAUUAUCACCCUGAUGAAGUCACGGGCAGUUGAGAAGAUCCCCAUCUCAGUCGUUUCUGGGAGGUAAAGAGACGCUGCCUUACAUUACUUUCUUCUGCCUUACAUUAAGGAAAACUGAAGGAAAGUCAAUUUGUUUUGAGAGGUUUGGCUGGGGAAGGAGACCUGGGGACAAGGAACGCGUGUCCCAAGUCCCCAGCUAACACCCUGGUGGCUGUAGCA
Chroicocephalus ridibundus (black-headed gull) is the source of this 2016-nucleotide long non-coding RNA. RefSeq lists it as uncharacterized. Lineage: Eukaryota; Metazoa; Chordata; Aves; Charadriiformes; Laridae. The record is from RefSeq and is a predicted model, not a curated record. The transcript is spliced from 4 exons.